Molecule: ribosomal RNA, 440 nt
Filed under: uncultured bacterium
Lineage: Bacteria
Description: partial 16S ribosomal RNA
Rfam family: Bacterial small subunit ribosomal RNA
Source: RNAcentral
CCUACGGGUGGCAGCAGUAGGGAAUAUUGCUCAAUGGGGGAAACCCUGAAGCAGCAACGCCGCGUGGAGGAUGAAGGUUUUCGGAUUGUAAACUCCUUGUGAUAGAGAAGAUAAUGACGGUAUCUAACGAAUAAGCACCGGCUAACUCCGUGCCAGCAGCCGCGGUAAUACGGAGGGUGCAAGCGUUACUCGGAAUCACUGUGCGUAAAGAGCGCGUAGGCGGGAUCGCAAGUCAGAUGUGAAAUCCUAUGGCUUAACCAUAGAACUGCAGUUGAAACUGUUAUUCUAGAGUAUGGGAGAGGGAGGCGGAAUUCUUGGUGUAGGAGUAAAAUGCGUAGAGAUCAAGAGGAAUACUCAUUGCGAAGGCGACCUGCUAGAACAUAACUGACGCUGAGGCGCGAAAGUGUGGGGAGCAAACAGGAUUAGAUACCCCGGUAGUC